AGCACGAAUCGCACGAAGAAGAAGAAGAAGUCAAAGACGAUACACACAACAAUGGCGACCUCAUCAUCAUCCUCUUACCUCUUCCUCCUCAUCGCGAUCAUCGUCUCUUCCCUUUCAGUCUCCACCAUCGCCGCUCGUCCUUGCAAAACCUUCCUCAUCUCCUCCUAUUCCCUCUCAAUAACCCCAGAAGAAAACCCUAACCACGAAUCCGAUCUCUCCUCCACUCGAUUCGUCACCGUCUUCACCAUCCGCCGUCUCAAUCCCCACCCAAUCGUACCUUUCUUCGUCAAUCGCCGCCAUGGAUUCCUCCCUUCCGCCGUUGAGAAACCUCAGAUCCAACGAUCGGAGGACGAUCGUGCCCAAUCAGCCUUCCCUAUGAUCUUCGAUAACAUCAAUUCGUUCAGAGACCGAACCAGAGACAUCCUCAGCGUCGUCGUGGCUCUCUUGUUCGGCGUCGGUUGUGGUGCCCUAACCGCCGCGACUAUGUACCUCGUCUGGGCUCUUGUCGUGAAUCGCCAUAGCUACAAUUUCGAGGAAGAUGAUUUCGAGAACGAUGAAUCUGAUGAAGCUAGCUUGAAGAAAUUGGGUUACGUCAAGAUCCCUGCUCCAGUUUCAGCUCCUGUGAAGGAAGCUGCUUAAUUCGAGGUUGUUCUUA
This 655-nucleotide long non-coding RNA is filed under the name Eutrema salsugineum. Its description in RNAcentral is "long non-coding RNA (ESAL_LNC000118)". The record is from RNAcentral. Lineage: Eukaryota; Viridiplantae; Streptophyta; Magnoliopsida; Brassicales; Brassicaceae.